GAUCAAGCGAGUAAGGGCACAAGGUGGAUGCCUAGGCAUGGACCGGCGAUGAAGGACGUGGCAAGCUGCGAUAAGCCAGGGGUAGCUGCAAGCAAGCGUUGAUCCCUGGAUUUCCGAAUGGGGAAACCCGGCUGGGGUGAUGCCCAGUCAUUCCUUGGCUGAAUACAUAGGCCUUGGAAAGCGAACCGAGGGAACUGAAACAUCUAAGUACCUCGAGGAAGAGAAAACAACCGUGAUUCCCUUAGUAGCGGCGAGCGAAAGGGGAACAGCCCAAACCAUGGAGGUGCCAAGGCGGCAGCCGUUGCUUCCAUGGGGUUGUAGGGGUGAUUCGUGGGAAUCUGCCGAUUCCCGGAGUGAGCGCGACGGUGAGUCGAAUCCGUCUGGAAAGCCAAGCCAUAGAGGGUGACAGCCCCGUAGGCGAAGCCGACGUUGCGAGUUCUGAGUCAUUUCCUGAGUAGGUCGGGACACGAGAAAUCCCGAUUGAACCCGGCAGGACCACCUGCCAAGGCUAAAUACACGUCCGUGACCGAUAGUGAACGAGUACCGUGAGGGAAAGAUGAAAAGUACGCCGGGAGGCGGGUGA
RNAcentral lists this ribosomal RNA (583 nucleotides) under Gemmatimonadota bacterium. RNAcentral's name for it is "partial 23S ribosomal RNA". It matches the Rfam family "Bacterial large subunit ribosomal RNA", at positions 1 to 541 of the family's 2925-position model. Lineage: Bacteria; Pseudomonadati; Gemmatimonadota. The record is from RNAcentral.